GACGAACGCUGGCGGCGUGCUUAACACAUGCAAGUCGAACGGAAAGGCCCUGCUUUUGUGGGGUGCUCGAGUGGCGAACGGGUGAGUAACACGUGAGUAACCUGCCCUUGACUUUGGGAUAACUUCAGGAAACUGGGGCUAAUACCGGAUAGGAGCUCCUGCUGCAUGGUGGGGGUUGGAAAGUUUCGGCGGUUGGGGAUGGACUCGCGGCUUAUCAGCUUGUUGGUGGGGUAGUGGCUUACCAAGGCUUUGACGGGUAGCCGGCCUGAGAGGGUGACCGGCCACAUUGGGACUGAGAUACGGCCCAGACUCCUACGGGAGGCAGCAGUGGGGAAUAUUGCACAAUGGGCGGAAGCCUGAUGCAGCAACGCCGCGUGCGGGAUGACGGCCUUCGGGUUGUAAACCGCUUUCGCCUGUGACGAAGCGUGAGUGACGGUAAUGGGUAAAGAAGCACCGGCUAACUACGUGCCAGCAGCCGCGGUGAUACGUAGGGUGCGAGCGUUGUCCGGAUUUAUUGGGCGUAAAGGGCUCGUAGGUGGUUGAUCGCGUCGGAAGUGUAAUCUUGGGGCUUAACCCUGAGCGUGCUUUCGAUACGGGUUGACUUGAGGAAGGUAGGGGAGAAUGGAAUUCCUGGUGGAGCGGUGGAAUGCGCAGAUAUCAGGAGGAACACCAGUGGCGAAGGCGGUUCUCUGGGCCUUUCCUGACGCUGAGGAGCGAAAGCGUGGGGAGCGAACAGGCUUAGAUACCCUGGUAGUCCACGCUGUAAACGGUGGGUACUAGGUGUGGGGUCCAUUUCACGGGUUCCGUGCCGUAGCUAACGCUUUAAGUACCCCGCCUGGGGAGUACGGCCGCAAGGCUAAAACUCAAAGGAAUUGACGGGGCCCCGCACAAGCGGCGGAGCAUGCGGAUUAAUUCGAUGCAACGCGUAGAACCUUACCUGGGUUUGACAUGGAUCGGGAGUGCUCAGAGAUGGGUGUGCCUCUUUUGGGGUCGGUUCACAGGUGGUGCAUGGCUGUCGUCAGCUCGUGUCGUGAGAUGUUGGGUUAAGUCCCGCAACGAGCGCAACCCUUGUUCACUGUUGCCAGCACGUUAUGGUGGGGACUCAGUGGAGACCGCCGGGGUCAACUCGGAGGAAGGUGGGGAUGACGUCAAGUCAUCAUGCCCCUUAUGUCCAGGGCUUCACGCAUGCUACAAUGGCUGGUACAGAGAGUGGCGAGCCUGUGAGGGUGAGCGAAUCUCGGAAAGCCGGUCUCAGUUCGGAUUGGGGUCUGCAACUCGACCUCAUGAAGUCGGAGUCGCUAGUAAUCGCAGAUCAGCAACGCUGCGGUGAAUACGUUCCCGGG
RNAcentral lists this ribosomal RNA (1343 nucleotides) under uncultured bacterium. Its description in RNAcentral is "16S ribosomal RNA". It matches the Rfam family "Bacterial small subunit ribosomal RNA", at positions 28 to 1378 of the family's 1533-position model. The record is from RNAcentral.